CCUGAGAAACCCAAAAGAUCGAAUGGGGAGAUUCAUCGCCAGCGGCGUUGGCUUCCGUGCGGCUCGCGAUGGCCGGGACCUCGGUCUCGCGUCACGCGGCCGCUGCGGUAUGUCCGGCGACGUCGGCGUGCACUUCUCCCCUAGUAGGACGUCGCGACCCGUUGGGUGUCGGACCGAUGGCCGUUUGGUCGACUGUCGCGUCGCGUUCACGCGCGCACGCGGCAGACCAAUGCGGCCGAGCGUCCGGCUGCCCGGCGGUAUAGAACGCUUAAGAUUGGUAAUGAGCCGCAUUAAGUGCGUUCAGGCUCGUCGGCAGGCUCGUCUCGCCCGGAUUUACGGACCUAGCGCCGUUGCCGGGUGCUUGGCGGGCCGUUAGUCGACGAUGCCCUCGGACUGGCUCUAAAAUUCGAAAGGAUUACCUGUCGGCGACGCUACUGCUUUGGGUACUUUC
Molecule: ribosomal RNA, 451 nt
Filed under: Closterocerus sp. RDB-1999
Lineage: Eukaryota; Metazoa; Arthropoda; Insecta; Hymenoptera; Eulophidae
Description: eukaryotic LSU rRNA
Source: RNAcentral